UACACAUGAAAGUGAUUGUUAAAUAUUGAGCAUGGCUUGCUUCCCUGACUCAACUCAAAAAAUGUUAAGUGACAUACCAACUGUUUUU
This is a long non-coding RNA of Myotis davidii, 88 nucleotides long. RefSeq lists it as uncharacterized. Lineage: Eukaryota; Metazoa; Chordata; Mammalia; Chiroptera; Vespertilionidae. The record is from RefSeq and is a predicted model, not a curated record. The transcript is spliced from 3 exons.